Molecule: long non-coding RNA, 544 nt
Organism: Macadamia integrifolia
Lineage: Eukaryota; Viridiplantae; Streptophyta; Magnoliopsida; Proteales; Proteaceae
Exons: 3
Source: RefSeq, a predicted model, not a curated record
UAAUUUUCACCCAAAAAAAAAAAGGGCCACUACUUCACUUCACUCGUUAAAUUCAGUUUGGCUUGCACUGUGAAAGCAUUCAUUUGAGUAACGGAGGGAUGUGAAACUCUUAUGUAGACGUGGAAACAGAGUUUUGAUGAAAGACAAAAGCUCCAAGGUCAGCUCAAGCUAGAAGGAGAAAUCUUCAAUCCACAUCUACCCAAUAAAAUCAUGUCGAGGGAUUUCUGUUUCUGAAGCACCAAUCACUUCUAUUGUUCCUAUAAAGUUACUUCCAUCUUAAUUGGGUUAAGGACCCCUUUCUUGGAUCGGAAGCAGUGAUUCGCCAUCGUUAGUACGGAAUGUGAGUAAUGAGGCUCUGAAGAUAUAAGUAUUUGGAGAAGAAGAUCUUCGCUCAAUUGGAAGGUCAAUCGUUCUCGGUGGUCUACGUGCACACAAAUGUGUGGAGGAGCAAGAACUUCCCCAGAAUCUCAACCCUAAGGCUAUGUUUGGUAGCCAAAAGAAGAAAAGAAAAGGAAAAAGAAUCUAGAAAAGAAAGAAAAAGAAA